UUAAUUUUGAACGAGUGGCGGACGGGUGAGUAACACGUGGGUAACCUGCCCUUAAGUGGGGGAUAACAUUUGGAAACAGAUGCUAAUACCGCAUAAAUCCAAGAACCGCAUGGUUCUUGGCUGAAAGAUGGCGUAAGCUAUCGCUUUUGGAUGGACCCGCGGCGUAUUAGCUAGUUGGUGAGGUAACGGCUCACCAAGGCAAUGAUACGUAGCCGAACUGAGAGGUUGAUCGGCCACAUUGGGACUGAGACACGGCCCAAACUCCUACGGGAGGCAGCAGUAGGGAAUCUUCCACAAUGGACGCAAGUCUGAUGGAGCAACGCCGCGUGAGUGAAGAAGGCUUUCGGGUCGUAAAACUCUGUUGUUGGAGAAGAAUGGUCGGCAGAGUAACUGUUGUCGGCGUGACGGUAUCCAACCAGAAAGCCACGGCUAACUACGUGCCAGCAGCCGCGGUAAUACGUAGGUGGCAAGCGUUAUCCGGAUUUAUUGGGCGUAAAGCGAGCGCAGGCGGCUUUUUAAGUCUGAUGUGAAAGCCCUCGGCUUAACCGAGGAAGUGCAUCGGAAACUGGGAAACUUGAGUGCAGAA
RNAcentral lists this ribosomal RNA (586 nucleotides) under Lacticaseibacillus rhamnosus. RNAcentral's name for it is "bacterial SSU rRNA". It matches the Rfam family "Bacterial small subunit ribosomal RNA", at positions 80 to 653 of the family's 1533-position model. The record is from RNAcentral. Lineage: Bacteria; Bacillati; Bacillota; Bacilli; Lactobacillales; Lactobacillaceae.